AAAAUGCAGAUGUCUGUCGAGAAGAAUGUGUGCUCCACAUGCGUUCUGUGCCUUAAUCCAUCGAGUUCUCCGUUGGGCGGGUUCUGUAUCCACAGUGUUGUGUUCAGGCGCGUGUUUACGUCUGUUGAAUGAUUGGAUGAAUGAAUGAACGAAUGAAAGGGGUUUUACGUUGUGGUUCGGGUCGGUUCGGGUGGUGGUAUCUUUUCGUCGAACACACACACACACACACACACACACACACACACACACACACACACACACACACACACACAUACACACACACAAUGAAUGUAUGAAUGAAAUGAGAACCGAGGACGGUAACCAGGCGUGUAGGGUUCCUGCCACUUCCUGGCCCAUAUACAGAAUUAAAACCAACACAGUAGUUACAGAGUUCCAUAAAGUUUCGUAAGUUCCUUCAACUACCGCGAUUCUGGAUGCCUGCCUGAGAGUUUCCCGCAAUUGGUCGAAAUUGCUCGAUAGAAGGGUUGAAAUUGGCACGGGGUCUACACCUGGGACAAGUUAAAUUGCCGGGACAGGCCCUUGAAUUGGCCUGACAGGGACACGAAUUGGCCUGGCAGGGACAUUCCAACAGUC
RNAcentral lists this long non-coding RNA (594 nucleotides) under Volvox carteri. Its description in RNAcentral is "long non-coding RNA (VCAR_LNC000714)". The record is from RNAcentral. Lineage: Eukaryota; Viridiplantae; Chlorophyta; Chlorophyceae; Chlamydomonadales; Volvocaceae.